GCUAAUGUAGCAUAAUCUGGUUUUGCCAAAGACCUAAGCCCUUUUCAUAGAAGUUCAAAUCUUCUCAUUAGCU
RNAcentral lists this transfer RNA (73 nucleotides) under Ameerega hahneli. RNAcentral describes it as "tRNA-Leu". It matches the Rfam family "tRNA". From Rfam's summary of the family: Transfer RNA (tRNA) molecules are approximately 80 nucleotides in length. Their secondary structure includes four short double-helical elements and three loops (D, anti-codon, and T loops). Further hydrogen bonds mediate the characteristic L-shaped molecular structure. tRNAs have two regions of fundamental functional importance: the anti-codon, which is responsible for specific mRNA codon recognition, and the 3' end, to which the tRNAs corresponding amino acid is attached (by aminoacyl-tRNA synthetases). tRNAs cope with the degeneracy of the genetic code in two manners: having more than one tRNA (with a specific anti-codon) for a particular amino acid; and 'wobble' base-pairing, i.e. permitting non-standard base-pairing at the 3rd anti-codon position. The record is from RNAcentral. Lineage: Eukaryota; Metazoa; Chordata; Amphibia; Anura; Dendrobatidae.